Molecule: long non-coding RNA, 662 nt
Organism: Cyprinus carpio (common carp)
Lineage: Eukaryota; Metazoa; Chordata; Actinopteri; Cypriniformes; Cyprinidae
Source: Ensembl
GUGCAGUUGGAGAACUAACUUCAUUAAAUAUACGUUUUUGAAUUUAUUGAAUAUUUUGCUGGGAUUUAGGCCAACAGUUUCAAAGGAACAGCAAAAUAAACAUCUGCACUAUGAGAAUCACCAGGGUAUGACUGUGGUGUCCAAACCAGCAGCUGGUUUCCUGUGGUGUCAGAGGAUUUCAUGCAUCAUAAAUCAAGGACAAGAUGAGGUUGCCAUCCUGAGGAGGUACUGGCACACAUAGAGAAGACCGAACUCAUGUCCAUAUAAACAGUGAGCGAUCUGUUCUGCCUGCGCUGCUUUUCCUGUGACUUGAACAAUUUUGCUUUAGGCUAAAGUUAACUCAAAGUUAACUCUGAACAACGGGAAUCCCUGUUAGUACUGUUCUAGCCCACAUCUCGGCUGGCCUAGACAUGUAGACUCACACCUGUUUCUUUAUCAAGAUUCAAGGGACGAUUGACUGCGUCGGAAAGCUGAGUAAUGCUGCCUUUACAAGUGGUAUGGUGGUAGAUAGGGAAGCGUUACAUCCUGUUUACUAAGAUGCCUUCAUGUAGUAAGUUUCUCAAGGGGUAUAGAUCCUUCCCUGCCCAUGAUAUUCCAUAACCCUGUGUGCACAGUUCAGUGGAAAGAAUAAAAUAGCAUCUGAAGGAGUUUAAUGUGAUUUA